AUACAGAGGGUGCGAGCGUUAAUCGGAAUUACUGGGCGUAAAGCGCGCGUAGGCGGCUUGGUCAGUCGGAUGUGAAAGCCCUGGGCUUAACCUGGGAACUGCAUUCGAUACUGCCUGGCUAGAGUAUGGUAGAGGGAAGCGGAAUUCCGGGUGUAGCGGUGAAAUGCGUAGAUAUCCGGAGGAACACCAGUGGCGAAGGCGGCUUCCUGGACCAAUACUGACGCUGAGGUGCGAAAGCGUGGGGAGCAAACAGGAUUAGAAACCCCAGUAGUCC
Molecule: ribosomal RNA, 274 nt
Filed under: uncultured bacterium
Lineage: Bacteria
Description: partial 16S ribosomal RNA
Rfam family: Bacterial small subunit ribosomal RNA
Source: RNAcentral